UAGGGAAUCUUCCGCAAUGGACGAAAGUCUGACGGAGCAACGCCGCGUGAGUGAAGAGGGAUUUCGGUUCGUAAAACUCUGUUGUUAGGGAAGAAAAAAUGUAUAGUAACUAUAUACAAAAGAGACGGUACCUAACCAGAAAGCCACGGCUAACUACGUGCCAGCAGCCGCGGUAAUACGUAGGUGGCAAGCGUUGUCCGGAAUUAUUGGGCGUAAAGCGCGCGCAGGUGGUUUAGAAAGUCUGAUGUGAAAGCCCACGGCUCAACCGUGGAGGGUCAUUGGAAACUAAUAAACUUGAGUGCAGGAGAGAAAAGUGGAAUUCCUAGUGUAGCGAUGAAAUGCGUAGAGAUUAGGAGGAACACCGGUGGCGAAAGCGGCUUUUUGGCCUGCAACUGACACUGAGGCGCGAAAGCGUGGGGAGCAAACAGG
RNAcentral lists this ribosomal RNA (429 nucleotides) under Verrucomicrobiota bacterium. Its description in RNAcentral is "Verrucomicrobia bacterium partial 16S ribosomal RNA". It matches the Rfam family "Bacterial small subunit ribosomal RNA", at positions 355 to 776 of the family's 1533-position model. Lineage: Bacteria; Pseudomonadati; Verrucomicrobiota. The record is from RNAcentral.